This 394-nucleotide ribosomal RNA is filed under the name uncultured bacterium. Its description in RNAcentral is "bacterial SSU rRNA". It matches the Rfam family "Bacterial small subunit ribosomal RNA", at positions 30 to 429 of the family's 1533-position model. The record is from RNAcentral.
AUUGAACGCUGGCGGUAGGCCUAACACAUGCAAGUCGAACGCGAAAGUCCUUCGGGAUGAGUAGAGUGGCGGACGGGUGAGUAACGCGUAGGAAUCUAUCCUGUAGUGGGGGAUAACGUUUCGAAAGGAACGCUAAUACCGCAUACGCCCCACGGGGGAAAGCGGGGGAUCUUCGGACCUCGUGCUAUAGGAGGAGCCUGCGUCGGAUUAGCUAGUUGGUGAGGUAAAGGCUCACCAAGGCGACGAUCCGUAGCUGGUCUGAGAGGAUGAUCAGCCACACCGGAACUGAGACACGGUCCGGACUCCUACGGGAGGCAGCAGUGGGGAAUAUUGCGCAAUGGGCGAAAGCCUGACGCAGCCAUACCGCGUGUGUGAAGAAGGCCUCGGUUGUAAG